This 461-nucleotide ribosomal RNA is filed under the name uncultured archaeon. Its description in RNAcentral is "bacterial SSU rRNA". It matches the Rfam family "Archaeal small subunit ribosomal RNA", at positions 879 to 1340 of the family's 1478-position model. The record is from RNAcentral.
CCACAAGGGGUGAAGCCUGCGGUUCAAUUGGAGUCAACGCCAGGAAACUUACCAGGAGAGACAGCAGGUUGAGGGUCAGUCUGAAGAACUUACCUGACGAGCUGAGAGGAGGUGCAUGGCCGUCGCCAGCUCGUGCCGUGAGGCGUCCUGUUAAGUCAGGCAACGAGCGAGACCCCUAUCAGUAAUUGCUAACUGCCCAGAGAUGGGUAGAGGCUAGUUACAGAGACUGCCGUUGAUAAAACGGAGGAAGGAAGGGGCCACGGCAGGUCAGUAUGCCCCGAAACUCCUGGGCCACACGCGGGCUGCAAUGGUAGGGACAAUAGGUUCCGACCUCGAAAGAGGAAGGCAAUCCUCAAACCCUACCCCAGUUGUGAUCGAGGAUUGAAACCCGUCCUCGUGAAUAUGGAAUCCCUAGUAACCGCGUGUCAUCACCGCGCGGUGAAUACGUCCCUGCUCCUUGC